UAUGUCGUGCGAAUGCAAGGUAUGCGAAUCACGAAAUACUCUAACGCAAACUGCACCUUUGAGUAAUCAAAGGUAUACUUGUUUGAGGGCCAUUUAACAUAAUAAACAAUCAAUCACUAUUGCCAAUGCAGUUUUGGUUGAAUUCGUUUGAAAUGGGCAUCCAGUCAUUACGAUUGGUUACCUUAAAUCUAAGGAAUCAUCAUUGAAUACAGUUUGUAUGAAUGAUACCGUUGUUGGUAGAUUUACUUUAUCACAAUGACAUUCGACAGACAUUAAUGUGUUCUAUUGGUGUUAUUCCUCUCAGGAUCACAACCGUUUAAUUGUGAAAUCCUUUAAAUCUCGGCCUCAAAUCAAGUAAGAUGACCCGCUGGACUUAAGCAUAUCACUAAGCGGAGG
This 396-nucleotide ribosomal RNA is filed under the name uncultured eukaryote. RNAcentral's name for it is "eukaryotic LSU rRNA". The stretch from base 1 to 92 matches the Rfam family "5.8S ribosomal RNA", at positions 59 to 154 of the family's 154-position model. The record is from RNAcentral.